GCGCCCGUAGCUCAGGUGGAUAGAGCGGCUGGCUUCGAACCAGCAGGCCGGGGGUUCGAAUCCCUCCGGGCGCGCCA
This 77-nucleotide transfer RNA is filed under the name Acidobacteriota bacterium. RNAcentral's name for it is "tRNA-Arg". It matches the Rfam family "tRNA". From Rfam's summary of the family: Transfer RNA (tRNA) molecules are approximately 80 nucleotides in length. Their secondary structure includes four short double-helical elements and three loops (D, anti-codon, and T loops). RNAcentral also lists the same sequence under 2 other names. Lineage: Bacteria; Pseudomonadati; Acidobacteriota. The record is from RNAcentral.